GACGAACGCUGGCGGCGUGCCUAAUACAUGCAAGUAGAACGCUGAAGAGAGGAGCUUGCUCUUCUUGGAUGAGUUGCGAACGGGUGAGUAACGCGUAGGUAACCUGCCUGGUAGCGGGGGAUAACUAUUGGAAACGAUAGCUAAUACCGCAUAAAAUUGAUUAUUGCAUGAUAAUUAAUUGAAAGAUGCAAUUGCAUCACUACCAGAUGGACCUGCGUUGUACUAGCUAGUUGGUGAGGUAACGGCUCACCAAGGCGACGAUACAUAGCCGACCUGAGAGGGUGAUCGGCCACACUGGGACUGAGACACGGCCCAGACUCCUACGGGAGGCAGCAGUAGGGAAUCUUCGGCAAUGGGGGGAACCCUGACCGAGCAACGCCGCGUG
Molecule: ribosomal RNA, 385 nt
Filed under: Streptococcus sanguinis
Lineage: Bacteria; Bacillati; Bacillota; Bacilli; Lactobacillales; Streptococcaceae
Description: bacterial SSU rRNA
Rfam family: Bacterial small subunit ribosomal RNA
Source: RNAcentral